This 422-nucleotide ribosomal RNA is filed under the name uncultured archaeon. RNAcentral describes it as "partial 16S ribosomal RNA". It matches the Rfam family "Archaeal small subunit ribosomal RNA", at positions 323 to 746 of the family's 1478-position model. The record is from RNAcentral.
CUACGGGAGGCAUCAGUCACGGAAACUUUACAAUGCGCGAAAGCGUGAUAAGGGUAUCCCAAGUGCUUUGCUUAUUGUAAGGCUUUUGCCAAGUGUAAAGAGCUUGGCGAAUAAGUGGUGGGUAAGGCUGGUGCCAGCCGCCGCGGUAACACCAGCGCCACAAGUGGUAACCACGUUUAUUGGGCCUAAAGCGUUCGUAGCCGGUUUGAUAAGUUUCUUGUGAAAUUGUUUGGCCUAACCAAACAACGUGCAAGAAAUACUGUCUAACUUGGGACCGGGAGGAGUUAGAGGUAUUCCAUGGGGAGCGGUAAAAUGCUAUAAUCCUUGGAGGACCACCAAUGGCGAAGGCUUCUAACUAGAACGGAUCCGACGGUCAGGAACGAAGGCUAGGGGAGCAAAACGGAUUAGAUACCCGUGUAGUC